This 305-nucleotide ribosomal RNA is filed under the name uncultured bacterium. RNAcentral's name for it is "bacterial SSU rRNA". It matches the Rfam family "Bacterial small subunit ribosomal RNA", at positions 335 to 658 of the family's 1533-position model. The record is from RNAcentral.
AACCUACGGGAGGCAGCAGUGGGGGAUAUUGCACAAUGGGGGGAACCCUGAUGCAGCGACGCCGCGUGGGUGAAGAAGCGCCUCGGCGCGUAAAGCCCUGUCAGCAGGGAAGAAAAUGACGGUACCUGAAGAAGAAGCCCCGGCUAACUACGUGCCAGCAGCCGCGGUAAUACGUAGGGGGCAAGCGUUAUCCGGAUUUACUGGGUGUAAAGGGAGCGCAGGCGGGAAGCCAAGUCAGCUGUGAAAACUACGGGCUUAACUUGUAGACUGCAGUUGAAACUGGUUUUCUUGAGUGAAGUAGAGGU